Marmota monax (woodchuck) is the source of this 1693-nucleotide long non-coding RNA. RefSeq lists it as uncharacterized. NCBI's taxonomy places the organism in Eukaryota, Metazoa, Chordata, Mammalia, Rodentia, Sciuridae. The transcript is spliced from 4 exons. The record is from RefSeq and is a predicted model, not a curated record.
CUCCCAACAGCACCACAGGAGGAGAACCAACCCUUUACCACAUGUGCCUUUGGGGGACAAUCAAGAUCCAAGAAGUUCCAGCAGGCUUUGCUGAACAAAUCAAACUCUGUCGUUCACGUUGGUCACAUUGCCUGUGCCAGCAAGAGGCUGAACUGCAGCAAGAGGGACGCCUUCGUACUUUGGAAAGCAAGGCUUGACAGCUGGAGGCUGCCUGUCGCGUGGGUGAGCGAACACGCAGCACCACCCUGGGAAGAGGAGCUGUUGGGGAUUCUCUAAAUGUGCGUGGACCGGUGAAGGAUAUCAUUGAGUUGGUGGAAGGACAGGGCAAUUAAUGGUGUGCACAAACCUGUGUGAUUUUGGUGUGGAGAACCAUUGAAAUGGACUGCAUCAACUGUCCUCAUUCAACACCCAAGCAAACCCAGAAAAGAAAAUGGAUUUCCUGAAUGUCACACAGCCAGCCAGUGGCAGUUCUGAUGCUACAGAGUCCCAUGAACUGAACCUUGGUUCAGCAUUUGAGGUAGGUAAGGAAAGCAGAAGGUGAAAAAGUUUCUGAUUUCAGUUGCAUGGCAUUUCGGACCUCAGCAGAAGUGGAGGAGAACAUAUUCUGGCACUGGAGCCUGAAGAAGAGUUGUCAGUCUCUACUGGCUUACAGAAGGCCCUCCUUCCAGUCCUGAGACUCAGCAGAAGAUAAGCCCGCAGGAAGGAUGCUGGGGUGGGGAGCAGGAGGUGCCACAGAGGGUGCAUGAGGGUGGAGGAGGGAAAGAGCUUGUGGGAUGCCAGCCAGCCUCUCCUGGCCCCUCUCCCCAGCUCAGCAAAAUUUGAGCCUCUCGUCUCGGCCCUACCUCCUCUCUCUCUUCGAAACCCCUGCAACUCUGAGCUCCUGUUCUGCAAGUGCAUAUCUUCCCAGAUCCCAAACAAGGGGUGGGGGGCCAGCACCCUGUUUUCCACUCUCUAGAUACUCUGUGGCCUUGAUUGAACUAGACUUCCAUGAGGAUCUGCGUGGCUCUCAAGCCUUUCAGCCAAUCUAUGGCUAAAAGACACGAGCUCCGAGUAGACUAUUACCCAGGAUUGCGAAGGGGGAAAUCACACUGCAUUAUUCAGUGUCAGCUGGAGGGGUGGAGGGAAAGGUUAAAGCCAUUGCCUAGCUCAUUCCUUCAAAAUAAAAUCCAAAAUGUUGACGUGAAACAUAUGGCUGUUCUUGGGGCGAAUCUUAGCCUGGUUUCCCGUGGCGAUCCUACGACAGCAUCCUCUGCCUUCAGAGGCUGGCCCUUCCCUUGACUCCUGGCCUGUGUCCCAGCAGGAAGGACAGACAGCCCAUCCUUCUUUCAACACGGGAUGGCUUGCAGAGCCUAAAGCCGUGGGUGUGAGUGCAAGGGCGGGCUGUGACCUUUCAACUCACUCCUUUGAUUUCAUUUUUCAAAAAGCUAAUUAGAGUUCAGAGAAGUUUUAUGCCCUUUGUUUUUCUAACCUAGAGAAUCUGACUCAGGGACUUUUGUGGACUGCAAUGUCCCAAACUGGCCAACACUGGACAAAACCUUUAAUGCCCAGGGCUGAGUCACAGUGUAGCAUCUCCUCGGCCUGGUUUGCCCCAAGCAGAAUGUUCUCUCUGUUCUCCAAACAACAAAGCCUGCUGCCAGGCAGCCCCCGGCCAGAAAGCCCGCCCCAGCCAACUUCCCUUUCACCUCUCCAUGGU